Molecule: ribosomal RNA, 253 nt
Filed under: uncultured bacterium
Lineage: Bacteria
Description: partial 16S ribosomal RNA
Rfam family: Bacterial small subunit ribosomal RNA
Source: RNAcentral
UACAUGGGGUUCAAACGUUGCUCGGAAUUAUUGGGCGUAAAGCGCACGUAGGCGGUUCGUUAAGUCGGAUGUGAAAGCCCUCGGCUCAACUGAGGAAGUGCACCCGAAACUGGCGAGCUUGAGUACGAAAGAGGAUCGCGGAAUUCCCGGUGUAGAGGUGAAAUUCGUAGAUAUCGGGAGGAACACCGGUGGCGAAGGCGGCGAUCUGGGUCGAUACUGACGCUGAGACGCGAAAGCGUGGGGAGCGAACAGG